GUUGUAUGGUUAAGUGACUAAGCGUACACGGUGGAUGCCUUGGCAGUCAGAGGCGAUGAAAGACGUAGUAACUUGCGAUAAGCCCAGAUUAGGUAGUAACAACCAUUUGAGUCUGGGAUUUCUGAAUGGGGAAACCCACUUACAUAAGUAAGUAUCAUUAACUGAAUACAUAGGUUAAUGAGGCGAACCGGGGGAACUGAAACAUCUAAGUACCCCGAGGAAAAGAAAUCAACCGAGAUUCCGAAAGUAGCGGCGAGCGAAAUUGGACUAGCCCUUAAGCUUUACACGCGUUAGACGAACGGUCUGGAAAGUCCGACGAUACAGGGUGAUAGUCCCGUAGUUGACGACGUGUGUUCAGUGAAAUCGAGUAGGGCGGGACACGUGAUAUCCUGUCUGAAUAUGGGGGGACCAUCCUCCAAGGCUAAAUACUACUGACUGACCGAUAGUGAACCAGUACCGUGAGGGAAAGGCGAAAAGAACCCCUGUGAGGGGAGUGAAAUAGAACCUGAAACCGUGUACGUACAAGCAGUAGGAGCAGGCUUUGUCCUGUGACUGCGUACCUUUUGUAUAAUGGGUCAGCGACUUAUAUUCAGUGGCAAGGUUAACCAUCUAGGGGAGCCGUAGGGAAACCGAGUCUUAACUGGGCGUUCAGUCUCUGGAUAUAGACCCGAAACCAGGUGAUCUAGCCAUGGGCAGGUUGAAGGUUGAGUAACAUCAACUGGAGGACCGAACCGACUAAUGUUGAAAAAUUAGCGGAUGACUUGUGGCUAGGGGUGAAAGGCCAAUCAAACCUGGAGAUAGCUGGUUCUCCCCGAAAGCUAUUUAGGUAGCGCCUCGGACGAAUACUACUGGGGGUAGAGCACUGUUAAGGCUAGGGGGUCAUCCCGACUUACCAACCCUUUGCAAACUCCGAAUACCAGUAAGUACUAUCCGGGAGACACACGGCGGGUGCUAACGUCCGUCGUGGAGAGGGAAACAACCCAGACCGCCAGCUAAGGUCCCAAAUUACUACUAAGUGGGAAACGAUGUGGGAAGGCUCAGACAGCCAGGAUGUUGGCUUAGAAGCAGCCAUCAUUUAAAGAAAGCGUAAUAGCUCACUGGUCGAGUCGGCCUGCGCGGAAGAUGUAACGGGGCUAAGUAGUAAACCGAAGCUGCGGCAAUAUACUUUUGUAUAUUGGGUAGGGGAGCGUUCUGUAAGCGGUUGAAGGUGUGUGGUAACGCAUGCUGGACGUAUCAGAAGUGCGAAUGCUGACAUGAGUAACGAUAAAGGGGGUGAAAAACCUCCUCGCCGGAAGACCAAGGGUUCCUGUCCAACGUUAAUCGGGGCAGGGUAAGUCGACCCCUAAGGCGAGGCCGAAAGGCGUAGUCGAUGGGAAACGGGUUAAUAUUCCCGUACUUCUUACAAUUGCGAUGGGGGGACGGAGAAGGCUAGGUGGGCCUGGCGACGGUUGUCCAGGUUCAAGUGCGUAGGCUUAAGAGUUAGGUAAAUCCGGCUCUUUUUAAGGCUGAGACACGACGUCGAGCACCUACGGGUGUGAAGUCAUUGAUGCCAUGCUUCCAGGAAAAGCCUCUAAGCUUCAGAUUGUAAGGAAUCGUACCCCAAACCGACACAGGUGGUCGGGUAGAGAAUACCAAGGCGCUUGAGAGAACUCGGGUGAAGGAACUAGGCAAAAUGGUACCGUAACUUCGGGAGAAGGUACGCUCUCGACGGUGAAGUCCCUUGCGGAUGGAGCUAUUGAGAGUCGCAGAUACCAGGUGGCUGCAACUGUUUAUUAAAAACACAGCACUGUGCAAAAUCGUAAGAUGACGUAUACGGUGUGACGCCUGCCCGGUGCCGGAAGGUUAAUUGAUGGGGUUAGACUUCGGUCGAAGCUCUUGAUCGAAGCCCCGGUAAACGGCGGCCGUAACUAUAACGGUCCUAAGGUAGCGAAAUUCCUUGUCGGGUAAGUUCCGACCUGCACGAAUGGCGUAAUGAUGGCCACGCUGUCUCCACCCGAGACUCAGUGAAAUUGAAAUCGCUGUGAAGAUGCAGUGUACCCGCGGCUAGACGGAAAGACCCCGUGAACCUUUACUACAGCUUGGCACUGAACAUUGACCCUACAUGUGUAGGAUAGGUGGGAGGCUUUGAAGCACGUACGCCAGUAUGUGUGGAGCCGUCCUUGAAAUACCACCCUUGUAGUGUUGAUGUUCUAACGUCGACCCCUAAUCGGGGUUGCGGACAGUGCCUGGUGGGUAGUUUGACUGGGGCGGUCUCCUCCCAAAGAGUAACGGAGGAGCACGAAGGUGGGCUAAUCACGGUUGGACAUCGUGAGGUUAGUGCAAUGGCAUAAGCCCGCUUGACUGCGAGAAUGACAAUUCGAGCAGGUGCGAAAGCAGGUCAUAGUGAUCCGGUGGUUCUGAAUGGAAGGGCCAUCGCUCAACGGAUAAAAGGUACUCCGGGGAUAACAGGCUGAUACCGCCCAAGAGUUCAUAUCGACGGCGGUGUUUGGCACCUCGAUGUCGGCUCAUCACAUCCUGGGGCUGAAGUCGGUCCCAAGGGUAUGGCUGUUCGCCAUUUAAAGUGGUACGCGAGCUGGGUUUAGAACGUCGUGAGACAGUUCGGUCCCUAUCUGCCGUGGGCGUUGGAAGAUUGAAGGGGGCUGCUCCUAGUACGAGAGGACCGGAGUGGACGAACCUCUGGUGUUCGGGUUGUGUCGCCAGACGCAUUGCCCGGUAGCUAAGUUCGGAAUCGAUAACCGCUGAAAGCAUCUAAGCGGGAAGCGAGCCCUGAGAUGAGUCUUCCCUGAUACUUUAAGUAUCCUAAAGGGUUGUCGGAGACUACGACGUUGAUAGGUCAGGUGUGUAAGUGCUGUGAGGCAUUGAGCUAACUGAUACUAAUUGCCCGUGAGGCUUAACCAUACAACACCCAAGGGGUUU
RNAcentral lists this ribosomal RNA (2916 nucleotides) under Vibrio parahaemolyticus. RNAcentral's name for it is "23S ribosomal RNA". It matches the Rfam family "Bacterial large subunit ribosomal RNA". Lineage: Bacteria; Pseudomonadati; Pseudomonadota; Gammaproteobacteria; Vibrionales; Vibrionaceae. The record is from RNAcentral.